CUUUCUAAUAUUUAACAGCUACCCUAGAGAAACAACUGCGCAUGCGCCAAACAGCAGCCGGUCAAUGUAAACACAACGUGUUUUUAGGGUUUGUUUACAUCCGUACACUAAGGAGGGUGCAGCAGUGCAGCAUAAUGUGAAGUUGGAGUUUAUGUUUCAUCCGGAUGAAGAAUUGAAGGCUUAUUUCUACUAAAGAAGCUGGAGAAUACGAAGAACAUUCUGUGUGGUGGACAGCCCAGCCUAUCACUGCACAUAGAUCAGAAUCUGUUGAAGGAAUCAUGACAGCUGAGAGUGUUUCAGUCAUCGACCUGCCCCACUGGGAGAGUGGAAAAAGGAGGAUUCGAUUCCUUUAUUUAGCUGCCAACAAUUCCUUCAGAGUUACCAAACAGUGUACAAAUGAGGAGCAGAUGAUCCCCCUUUUUCUUGGAGCUGAUCUUUUUUCCAACACAGAUGUCCGUACCGAAAACCAUCCCAGAUAUCAUGCAAAAUUUGCCAAAAAGGGACUGGCCACCAAGCUGGUCUUUUCCUCAGGUAUUUAUUAAUAUUUUUUUAUAUUAAUCAGGAGUGGUGUUUUUAUAAAGAUUUUAAACUUUAGUUUAAAAUGGAUGGAACAAAAGCACAUCACUGUAAUACUGGAGUAUUAUUUUUACUUCACUACUGUACUUAAUUACUAAAAUGCUGUAUCUGUAUCUACUAGAGUAUUAUUUUUACUACUUCACUACUGUACUUAAGUACUAAAAUACUGUAUCUGUAUCUACUGGAGUAUUAUUUUUACUACUUCACUACUGUACUUAAGUACUAAAAUACUGUAUCUGUAUCUACUGGAGUAUUAUUUUUACUAC
This 842-nucleotide long non-coding RNA is filed under the name Astyanax mexicanus (Mexican tetra). Its description in RNAcentral is "lncRNA (ENSAMXG00005011668.1)". The record is from RNAcentral. Lineage: Eukaryota; Metazoa; Chordata; Actinopteri; Characiformes; Acestrorhamphidae.